GAUUAACGCUGGCGGCGUGCAUAACACAUGCAAGUCGAACGAUGAAACUUUACUGACUUCUUCGGAAUGAUUUAAAGCGGAUUAGUGGCGAACGGGUGAGUAACGCGUGAGUAACCUGCCUUACACAAGGGGAUAGCCUCUGGAAACGGAGAAUAAUACCCUAUGAAACCAGACAAUCGCAUGAUAAUCUGGUCAAAAUGUUUAGUGGUGUAAGAUGGACUUGCGUCUGAUUAGCUAGUUGGUGAGAUAAAAGCUCACCAAGGCAACGAUCAGUAGCCGGCUUGAGAGAGUGUACGGCCACAUUGGGACUGAGACACGGCCCAGACUCCUACGGGAGGCAGAAGUGGGGAAUUGUGCACAAUGGGGGAAACCCUGAUGCAGCGACGCCGCGUGAUUUAGAAGGCCUUCGGGUUGUAAAAAUCUUUUGUAUAGGAAGAAAAUGACAGUACUAUACGAAUAAGGUCCGGCUAAUUACGUG
RNAcentral lists this ribosomal RNA (478 nucleotides) under uncultured bacterium. RNAcentral describes it as "partial 16S ribosomal RNA". It matches the Rfam family "Bacterial small subunit ribosomal RNA", at positions 28 to 507 of the family's 1533-position model. The record is from RNAcentral.